Molecule: non-coding RNA, 45 nt
Organism: Picea glauca (white spruce)
Lineage: Eukaryota; Viridiplantae; Streptophyta; Pinopsida; Pinales; Pinaceae
Source: Rfam
GCAACGGUGUCUUUAGACACCACCUCUUAUGUCUUCGAAAUUUUA